RNAcentral lists this ribosomal RNA (444 nucleotides) under uncultured bacterium. RNAcentral describes it as "partial 16S ribosomal RNA". It matches the Rfam family "Bacterial small subunit ribosomal RNA", at positions 338 to 795 of the family's 1533-position model. The record is from RNAcentral.
CCUACGGGUGGCUGCAGUGAGGAAUAUUGGUCAAUGGGCGCGAGCCUGAACCAGCCAAGUAGCGUGAAGGAUGACUGCCCUACGGGUUUUAAACUUCUUUUCUCAGGGACGAAGCAAGUGACGUUACCUGAGGAAUAAGCCACGGCUAACUACGGGCCAGCAGCCGCGGUAAUACGUAGGUGGCAAGCGUUAUCCGGAUUUACUGGGGGUAAAGGGCGUGUAGGGGGGGAAGCAAGUCAGAUGUGAAAACCACGGGCUCAACCUGUGGCCUGCAUUUGAAACUGUGUUGCUUGAGUACUGGAGGGGUAGACGGAAUUGCUGGUGUAGCGGUGAAAUGCGUAGAUAUUAGGAGGAACACCAGGGGCGAAGGCGGUCUGCUGGACAGCAACUGACGCUGAGGCGCGAAAGCGUGGGGAGCAAACAGGAUUAGAUACCCGGGUAGUC